ACGGAGUUUUCCUCACAAAGAAUGGUGAGCUUGACCAAGGUGGGAGCUUGGGCAUUGGAGGAGGGAGAAGGGCAGAGGACUCACCAAACAAGAGGACUGGAGAGUCCAAUGGCCAAUCCCACUUCUGACACCAUUAAACAUCAACUGGACUAGACCUCUUGGCCUGCAGAGACUGUAGCCAAACAGGCAGAGCAGGCCAAGAAAUCAACCAGCUGUUUCCCUUAUCCCCUUACUCCCUGGGACAGACCUGAAGGUCAGAAGAUGAGUGCCACUGAGGGCCACAAGAAAAGUGCUCUGCCUGCCAACAAGCAGGUGAGGGAAGGAGAGCCCUGAGAGGGGUACAAGAACCCUAAGGGGUCAUUGUACUCAUCUCAAAGAUCAACAGAUGCUAGUCAGUGACCUUCAACAUUCUGAACACAUCCAAGAUACUGAGGAACAGUCUGCUUCAGAGGGGCUGCUAAGAAAACUGAAACCAUGGCCUCUUCCCUCAUUCAAAGUGGGAUCUGUCUCUUCCCCCAUAUUACCACCACCACUGCUGGCAGCAGAACGUUUCCUUAGACCAGGGGCAAGAUGAACUAUCCUAUGAGUGGCAAAACUGUUUAUUUCUUCUGGGAAGGAAGGGAAAGGCAAGUACAAGUUCGAAAGUUAUAUCCUUAAACUG
Long non-coding RNA from Phascolarctos cinereus (koala), 661 nucleotides. RefSeq lists it as uncharacterized. The record is from RefSeq and is a predicted model, not a curated record. Lineage: Eukaryota; Metazoa; Chordata; Mammalia; Diprotodontia; Phascolarctidae.